GUCCCAGUUGGACUUAGACGGUUUCUUGCCUUGAUUCGCGUCCCCCUCUGGAUCGACUCCUAAGCCGUAGGCCCCAGGUUCGAGUCCUGGCGGGGACG
This 98-nucleotide transfer RNA is filed under the name Gemmatimonadota bacterium. Its description in RNAcentral is "tRNA-Ser". The record is from RNAcentral. Lineage: Bacteria; Pseudomonadati; Gemmatimonadota.